GCGGUCACCGAAGCAUGAUGUCGUCGCCAUGCCAGAAUCUCAAAAUUGGCCAGAAAGGGCUUCUAACAUCGAUUUUUAGUUUUAUAGGGUAUUUCUAGGUACUUGGUAGUAGUAGUAGUAGCAUUUAUAGUAAUAGUAUUAGUUGUAGUAGUACUUAUAAAUACCCAUGUACUUGAAGGCUUUUAGCAUCAACCACAAAUCAAAACUUGAGUUUCUCAAUUUGUCUCUCUUACUUCUUCCUCUUAU
RNAcentral lists this long non-coding RNA (246 nucleotides) under Carica papaya (papaya). Its description in RNAcentral is "long non-coding RNA (CPAP_LNC003731)". Lineage: Eukaryota; Viridiplantae; Streptophyta; Magnoliopsida; Brassicales; Caricaceae. The record is from RNAcentral.